RNAcentral lists this ribosomal RNA (373 nucleotides) under uncultured Actinomyces sp. RNAcentral's name for it is "bacterial SSU rRNA". It matches the Rfam family "Bacterial small subunit ribosomal RNA", at positions 527 to 896 of the family's 1533-position model. Lineage: Bacteria; Bacillati; Actinomycetota; Actinomycetes; Actinomycetales; Actinomycetaceae. The record is from RNAcentral.
GUAGGGCGCGAGCGUUGUCCGGAAUUAUUGGGCGUAAAGGGCUUGUAGGCGGCUGGUCGCGUCUGCCGUGAAAUCCUCUGGCUCAGCUGGGGGCGUGCGGUGGGUACGGGCUGGCUUGAGUGCGGUAGGGGAGGCUGGAACUCCUGGUGUAGCGGUGGAAUGCGCAGAUAUCAGGAGGAACACCGGUGGCGAAGGCGGGUCUCUGGGCCGUUACUGACGCUGAGGAGCGAAAGCGUGGGGAGCGAACAGGAUUAGAUACCCUGGUAGUCCAUGCUGUAAACGUUGGGCACUAGGUGUGGGGGGUCUUUCCGGGUCCUCCGCGCCGUAGCUAACGCUUUAAGUGCCCCGCCUGGGGAGUACGGCCGCAAGGCUA